Molecule: ribosomal RNA, 900 nt
Filed under: uncultured bacterium
Lineage: Bacteria
Description: bacterial SSU rRNA
Rfam family: Bacterial small subunit ribosomal RNA
Source: RNAcentral
UGGUGGAGGCCUAACACAUGCAAGUCGAACGGUAACAGGAUGUGCUUGACAUCGCUGACGAGUGGCGGACGGGUGAGUAAUGCUUGGGAACUUGCCUUUGUGAGGGGGAUAACAGUUGGAAACGACUGCUAAUACCGCAUAAUGUCUUCGGACCAAACGGGGCUUAGGCUCCGGCGCAGAGAGAGGCCCAAGUGAGAUUAGCUAGUUGGUAAGGUAAAGGCUUACCAAGGCGACGAUCUCUAGCUGUUCUGAGAGGAAGAUCAGCCACACUGGGACUGAGACACGGCCCAGACUCCUACGGGAGGCAGCAGUGGGGAAUCUUGGACAAUGGGCGCAAGCCUGAUCCAGCCAUGCCGCGUGAGUGAUGAAGGCCUUAGGGUCGUAAAGCUCUUUCGCCAGAGAUGAUAAUGACAGUAUCUGGUAAAGAAACCCCGGCUAACUCCGUGCCAGCAGCCGCGGUAAUACGGAGGGGGUUAGCGUUGUUCGGAAUUACUGGGCGUAAAGCGCGCGUAGGCGGAUUAGUAAGUUAGAGGUGAAAUCCCGGGGCUCAACCCCGGAACUGCCUUUAAUACUGCUAGUCUUGAGUUCGAGAGAGGUGAGUGGAAUUCCGAGUGUAGAGGUGAAAUUCGUAGAUAUUCGGAGGAACACCAGUGGCGAAGGAGCGUCACUGACUCGAUACUGACGCUGAGGUGCGAAAGUGUGGCUGCAAACCUUGAUUACAUACCCAUGUUGUCCACACUCGUAGCGAUGACUGCAAGUCGUCAGGUAAGCCGCGGAUCGGCGACACACCUAGCGGAUUAAUCAUUCGCUCUUGCGACUGAUGUCCCAAGAUAAAGAGUCAAAGACAGAACAUAACCCAGGUUCUCCAAAUCGCAACGAUAGAGCGACACUCGGCAACAU